Molecule: long non-coding RNA, 873 nt
Filed under: Phoenix dactylifera (date palm)
Lineage: Eukaryota; Viridiplantae; Streptophyta; Magnoliopsida; Arecales; Arecaceae
Description: long non-coding RNA (PDAC_LNC013405)
Source: RNAcentral
AGUCGAUGUAAAGUUUAUCUUAUAAGGUAUGCUCGACCAUAGCAUCAAAUAUUCAUGCAAUCAUUUUAAUCAGAACUUUGCAAGAGAUAGUGUGUCUAUUGCAACCCUCGAAAUUAUGAUAGACUGCAAGGAUAUUGCAGUUGUAUGAGUGCCUGAAAUGUCCUCUGGUGCUUGUUUAAUGAUACAAUGCAAGGACGGGAUACAAGUAACUCCUAGUGACUGAAGGUCUGUUCGGUUUUGGUCUUGUAUUAUUGCCGGGAUCCAACAGUGCGAGUCCAUUGAUAUGGCUCAUGCAUGUGCAUUUCAACAGCCUGACUGCAUUCUGCUUUCAACUUGUGCAAUGCCGUGAGGGGGUGCUCGGUUUUGCAUUUAAGAUAUUGCUCGAACAAUAUCAUGGCCAUCAGAAAAGCGUAUUUGGAAUAUUAAGAUUGGAGCUCUAAAAUAGCAGCUCCGGCAAGUCCAUGACAAAUAGCCACUAGUAUACCACCAUGUGACUUGUAAAUGUCUAGGAGUGGACAAGAAAUGAUUUUCAUCUAUGGUGGUUGGCACUGGAUAUAGAAGUUUCCUCCAUUUAAUUGCUGCAAUACCAUAUUUGUAUAUCAGUAAGUCAUAAUAACCAUUAUUUUUAAAGGACUUUCUAAGUAAUAGAAAAGCUGACGAGGAGGCCAUCUAGUGCCUAGGUGAGCCCUUAGAGCACAAGGUGGCCCAAAAAUAAUAUAUUAAAACUAUUAAAAUGAAGAGAAAUUUUACAAUGAAACAUAUAAUAUCAAAUUAUAUGUAGUUUGUGUAGUGGAAGUGUCAACUUUGGCAGCAUCCAAUACUAAUAAUGUAAUGUUAUUUUCCAUCCUUAAAUAUGGUACAAAAUAUCAAGAU